CUUGCUUGUGCUCUCUCUGUCUCUCUCAAAAAUGAAUACACAUUUUUUUUUCAUUAAAAAAAAUUUAAGUGGAUUAUUUCACUUAAACCAUUCUUUCAACACUUGUUUGCACACGCCCGAAAUGCCAGCAAGGUUCUAGGUGCUGUGAGAUAGCGGUGGACAAAAGAGACAAAGUCCCAUGGAGAAACAAAGGGCGAUUUAUACACACAGUGCAAUAUUAUUCAGCCUUAAAGAAGAAGGAAACCCUGUCACGUGCCGCCACAUGGAUGGAUGCUGGGGACAGACGCUAAGUGAAAUAAUCCAGGCACAAACAGACGAACACUGUAUGAUCCCACUCACAUGAGAAAGACCAAGUGCCUGCUCUCGAGGGGUCCAUGUUCUAGAGGAGACGUCUCUAGUCCGGCGGCUGCACCGGACUUGGGGUUCAGAGUGAUGAUCUCAUGCUCUGUACAGCCCUCCUUGCUGAGGCUCCCGCACGGAUGAGUGAAGUACACGCCCAUAUUCACCUUGGGCGCCAGCCGGGGGUACACGCUGACACCCUGAGGGGUCCUUGAACUAUCACACAGCCAUGCUGCAGCCUGCUUCUCCGAUGCCGCUGGGCACAGAGCUACCAGCCCCAGGGAUUCUGCCCACUUCCUUCGUCCCCUGGGGGCACAUCAGCCCAGGAUGUCUUCCUGAUGGCUCCCGGACCACAAGAGGUGGGUUGGGUUCAGAGCGGACAGGUGGCCACUUGAAAUGUAGCCAUUCCUGUGCUGACGGGCCCCUGUCAUCCUUCCAGAAGCCGUCUUCCCGUUGGGAUGCUGCCCAACCCCUCUUCAUAGUUGUCCCUCCUAUCACCCCGGGAAAUUCCACUUUUAGGGCUCUUGAUUUUUAAAGCUGAGCCUGGAACACUGCUUUGGCUAGAUCUCUUUUAUCUGAGUGAUGCCUUCUGAGGGAAGAAGCAGGAGUUUUAGACCCUAAAGACCCAAGAAAGCCCGGGUGGGGUUUUUCCACUUCCCUUGCAGCUCCGUUUUGUCUCCUGCCCCUACACAGCAGUGAUCGCCAUCUGCCUGUGGGCACCAGCCUGAGACAGACGCUAGGGUCCAGGGAGGGAGGUGGACAUCACAUGUCAUGUAGCCCCCUCCGAUUUUGUGGCACACUGGGGCAGUUGGGGUAAUCCUGCCUGGGGAGCAGAGGCCAUCUCGCCAAGUGUCCUGACUCAUCACUGCUCUGUAGGAUGGCUCUUUCACGGAAAAGUUCUGCACUGAGAUCAUCUUUGGUUUGGGACCCGGCUGUCAGGUCUGGA
This is a long non-coding RNA of Leopardus geoffroyi (Geoffroy's cat), 1285 nucleotides long. RefSeq lists it as uncharacterized. The transcript is spliced from 3 exons. NCBI's taxonomy places the organism in Eukaryota, Metazoa, Chordata, Mammalia, Carnivora, Felidae. The record is from RefSeq and is a predicted model, not a curated record.